RNAcentral lists this ribosomal RNA (251 nucleotides) under uncultured prokaryote. RNAcentral's name for it is "partial 16S rRNA". It matches the Rfam family "Bacterial small subunit ribosomal RNA", at positions 525 to 775 of the family's 1533-position model. The record is from RNAcentral.
ACGGAGGGUGCGAGCGUUAAUCGGAAUCACUAGGCGUAAAGCGCACGUAGGCGGUGUCGUAAGUUGGAUGUGUAAGCCCUCAGCUCAACCGGCGAACCGCAUUCGAUACUGCGAUGCUUGAGUGCCGUUGCGGAUGUCGAAAUUCCAGGUGUAGUAGUGAAAUCCGUUUAUAUCGGGAGGAAUACCAGGGGCGAAGGCGAACAUCAGGGCUGCCACUGAGGCUAAGCUGCGUAAGCGUGGGGAUCAAACAG